UACGUAGGGAGCGAGCGUUGUCCGGAUUCAUUGGGCGUAAAGAGCUCGUAGGCGGCUUGGCAAGUCGGGUGUGAAAACUCCAGGCUCAACCUGGAGACGCCACCCGAGACUGGCAUGGCUAGAGUCCGGUAGGGGACCACGGAAUUCCUGGUGUAGCGGUGAAAUGCGCAGAUAUCAGGAGGAACACCGGUGGCGAAGGCGGUUCUCUGGGCAUUACCUGACGCUGAGGAGCGAAAGUGUGGGGAGCGAACAGG
This 254-nucleotide ribosomal RNA is filed under the name uncultured bacterium. RNAcentral's name for it is "partial 16S ribosomal RNA". It matches the Rfam family "Bacterial small subunit ribosomal RNA", at positions 524 to 776 of the family's 1533-position model. The record is from RNAcentral.